This 469-nucleotide ribosomal RNA is filed under the name uncultured bacterium. Its description in RNAcentral is "partial 16S ribosomal RNA". It matches the Rfam family "Bacterial small subunit ribosomal RNA", at positions 27 to 507 of the family's 1533-position model. The record is from RNAcentral.
GGACGAACGCUGGCGGCGUGCUUAGCACAUGCAAGUCGAACGGAAAGGCCCUGCUUUUGUAGGGUGCUCGAGUGGCGAACGGGUGAGUAACACGUGAGUAACCUGCCCUUGACUUUGGGAUAACUUCAGGAAACUGGGGCUAAUACCGGAUAGGAGCUCCUGCUGCAUGGUGGGGGUUGGAAAGUUUCGGCGGUUGGGGAUGGACUCGCGGCUUAUCAGCUUGUUGGUGGGGUAGUGGCUUACCAAGGCUUUGACGGGUAGCCGGCCUGAGAGGGUGACCGGCCACAUUGGGACUGAGAUACGGCCCAGACUCCUACGGGAGGCAGCAGUGGGGAAUAUUGCACAAUGGGCGGAAGCCUGAUGCAGCAACGCCGCGUGCGGGAUGACGGCCUUCGGGUUGUAAACCGCUUUCGCCUGUGACGAAGCGUGAGUGACGGUAAUGGGUAAAGAAGCACCGGCUAACUACGUG